This 76-nucleotide transfer RNA is filed under the name Alphaproteobacteria bacterium. RNAcentral describes it as "tRNA-Thr". It matches the Rfam family "tRNA". Rfam says of the family: Transfer RNA (tRNA) molecules are approximately 80 nucleotides in length. Their secondary structure includes four short double-helical elements and three loops (D, anti-codon, and T loops). Lineage: Bacteria; Pseudomonadati; Pseudomonadota; Alphaproteobacteria. The record is from RNAcentral.
GCCGGCGUAGCUCAGCUGGUAGAGCACCUGAUUUGUAAUCAGGUGGUCGGGGGUUCGAGUCCCUCCGCCGGCACCA